GCCGGAGUGGCGGAAUAGGCAGACGCAAGGGACUUAAAAUCCCUCGGGCUCAAAAGGCUCGUACCGGUUCGAUCCCGGUCUCCGGCACCA
This 90-nucleotide transfer RNA is filed under the name Nitrospira sp. RNAcentral's name for it is "tRNA-Leu". It matches the Rfam family "tRNA". Rfam says of the family: Transfer RNA (tRNA) molecules are approximately 80 nucleotides in length. Lineage: Bacteria; Pseudomonadati; Nitrospirota; Nitrospiria; Nitrospirales; Nitrospiraceae. The record is from RNAcentral.